UACGGGAGGCAGCAGUGGGGAAUAUUGGACAAUGGGGGAAACCCUGAUCCAGCGACGCCGCGUGAAGGAAGAAGGCCUUCGGGUUGUAAACUUCAGUUAGCAGGGAAGAAGUGAGUGACGGUACCUGCAGAGAAAGCCACGGCUAACUACGUGCCAGCAGCCGCGGUAAU
RNAcentral lists this ribosomal RNA (170 nucleotides) under uncultured rumen bacterium. RNAcentral's name for it is "partial 16S ribosomal RNA". It matches the Rfam family "Bacterial small subunit ribosomal RNA", at positions 340 to 524 of the family's 1533-position model. The record is from RNAcentral.